AUCUAUAUAAAAAUUAGAAUAUUGUUACUUUUAUUUAUUGUAAGCAAUAUUUGUUGAGUAAGAUAACAUAACACAUACAAAAAAAAGAAAAAACAAAUUAUUUCACAUUUAUAAAAUUUUAAUUUAAACAAAGAGAAACUAUGUAACUAAGUAACAUAUACGAGUAACUUGAGAGAGAGAGAGAGAGAGAGAGAGAGAGAGAGAGAGAGAGAGAGAGAGAGAAAGAUUGUAUCUGAAAAGGAUUAAUACAAAUUUAAAUAUAAGCGCACGUAAAAAAAUGUGAUAAAAAAUGUAAUUUAAUUUUAGGAAAAGUAGACAGAUAAUAAUGAAUUUACCAUCUUUGAAGGCCGAAGAUAACUUUGUUCUGUUAACAUUCUUUGGGUGCAAAAUACUUUGUUUUUUUUCUACGAGAUUACGUACAGAUAGUAGGUGUGAGAAAACUAAGAUAUAUAUGUGUGUGUAUCGAAAAGGUCUCUAGGAUCACAUUUAGUUCAUGGAGAGUACGCGACGUGUGCGUGCGCCACAAGCCUAAUUUUUGGUCUUUAAGUUUCCGCCCUAGUAUGCGGUACUUUUAUGUUCUUCUCGCUGAUCUGCGCCACGCGGUGCCUGUGCAUCACACGUUUCUUUUAUAAAAGUUAUAACCACUCAAUUAUAUCAUUUUGUUGUUUACUAAAUAUAAUUACCAACGUACAAAGUUGUGUGUGUUACUACGAGUACCUUCGUUUAGCCUAAAUCCCUGUCAGUAGGCUUGAUACUGAAGAACUGUCCGAUAUAGAUUGCAGUUCAUUACUAUCUAUAGUUAAUUGAGAAGAUGAGCAUUUUUCAGAAACUGUAACAUUGCAGAAAAUAAAUUCACAAUAAAAGAAAACAGGAAAUAUAAUUAGUUGUAAAAUCUAAAAAAUCUAUUAUUUGAAAAGUAAUAAACUUACUAUCAAAAGAAUUAUCACAGUUUUUUUUGUCUAAAUAUUGAGGCAUUCUGUUAAAUUUUCUGACAGACGUGGUCUUUUUUGAUUGCAAUGGAUUAGCAGUUCCAAAAUUUUCCGACAUUUUGGUGUUGCAGUCUUCAGGAACUAAAUCUCUUUGUUGUACAGUUAAAA
Long non-coding RNA from Monomorium pharaonis (pharaoh ant), 1097 nucleotides. RefSeq lists it as uncharacterized. The record is from RefSeq and is a predicted model, not a curated record. The transcript has 2 exons. NCBI's taxonomy places the organism in Eukaryota, Metazoa, Arthropoda, Insecta, Hymenoptera, Formicidae.